GAGUUCCCUCUGCUUCUAACCCAGACUCACAAUGUGGAGAGUAUCCUUACUGAGAUGGAAAUUUGAAUGAGGAAAAAUGGUCCAUUCCCAGUGGAGAUAUAUUUAAGAUCCUGUCAUGCAUCAGUGGUGGCCUUUCUAGGCUGGGUUACCGGUAAGUGCAGAGGAGAUCAUUACUCCUGCUUCAGCCAUUCUUUUCAGAUUAAAACAAUGGCAUUCACAUCGAUAGGAAAAGACAUUCAGUUGUUUGAACAGCUGUUUCUGUUCACUUCUGGAGAAAAGGAGUCAUAUCAGGUGCAGUCAUGCUUACUGGCUAUGUUGGUAUAACAGUCCCUUGGCUAUGGCCAUCAUAGCAUCUUCACAAUGCAGACUUCCUUGUAAAGACACUUAACUGAUUUCAUUCAGAUGCUGUUCAAAGCUGCAGCAGUUAAUAGUCAUCUCAUUCAGUGUGAAUUAUUUGGUAUUCAG
Molecule: long non-coding RNA, 465 nt
Filed under: Gallus gallus (chicken)
Lineage: Eukaryota; Metazoa; Chordata; Aves; Galliformes; Phasianidae
Description: long non-coding RNA NONGGAT001583
Source: RNAcentral